This 604-nucleotide ribosomal RNA is filed under the name uncultured bacterium. RNAcentral's name for it is "bacterial SSU rRNA". It matches the Rfam family "Bacterial small subunit ribosomal RNA", at positions 57 to 707 of the family's 1533-position model. The record is from RNAcentral.
GCAGUCGACGGAUGGUUUCGGCCAUCAGUGACGCACGGGCGAGUAACGCGUGGGAAUCUGCCCAGCAGUGGGGGAUAACCUCUGGAAACGGAGGCUAAUACCGCAUACGCCCCUCGGGGGAAAGGCUUGCUGCUGCUGGAGGAGCCCGCGUCGGAUUAGGUAGUUGGUGGGGUAACGGCCUACCAAGCCUGUGAUCCGUAGCUGGUCUGAGAGGAUGAUCAGCCACACUGGGACUGAGACACGGCCCAGACUCCUACGGGAGGCAGUAGUGGGGAAUAUUGGACAAUGGGCGCAAGCCUGAUCCAGCAAUGCCGCGUGAGUGAUGAAGGCCUUCGGGUUGUAAAGCUCUUUCGCCCACGACGAUGAUGAAGGUAGUGGGAGAAGAAGCCCCGGCUAACUUCGUGCCAGCAGCCGCGGUAAUACGAAGGGGGCUAGCGUUGUUCGGAAUGACUGGGCGUAAAGGGCGCGUAGGCGGCGCAUCAAGUCGGGCGUGAAAGCCCCGGGCACAACCUGGGAACUGCGUUCGAGACUGGUGUGCUGGAGUUCGGGAGAGGAGAGUGGAAUUCCCAGUGUAGAGGUGAAAUUCGUAGAUAUUGGGAAGAAC